Molecule: ribosomal RNA, 446 nt
Filed under: uncultured bacterium
Lineage: Bacteria
Description: bacterial SSU rRNA
Rfam family: Bacterial small subunit ribosomal RNA
Source: RNAcentral
GACGAACGCUGGCGGCGUGCUUAACACAUGCAAGUCGAACGAGACGAUUUAGAAGCUUGCUUUUAUUGAGUCGAGUGGCAAACGGGUGAGUAACGCGUAGACAACCUGCCGCAAAGAUGGGGACAACAGUCCCGAAAGGACUGCUAAUACCGAAUGUUGUAUCUCCUCCGCAUGAAAGAGAUAUUAAAGAUGGCCUCUACUUGUAAGCUAUCGCUUUGCGAUGGGUCUGCGUCUGAUUAGCUAGUUGGUGGGGCAACGGGCCUACCAAGGCGACGAUCAGUAGCCGGUCUGAGAGGAUGAACGGCCACAUUGGAACUGAGACACGGUCCAGAUUCCACGGGAGGCCAGGCAGUGGGGAACUAUUGCACAAUGGGGGAAACCCUGAUGCAGCGACGCCGCGUGGAGGAAGAAGGGUCUUCGGAUUGUAAACUCCUGUUGUUGAGGAA